RNAcentral lists this long non-coding RNA (1634 nucleotides) under Homo sapiens (human). RNAcentral describes it as "LRIG3 divergent transcript (LRIG3-DT)". The record is from RNAcentral. Lineage: Eukaryota; Metazoa; Chordata; Mammalia; Primates; Hominidae.
GCGGGAGAAAGUGGAGCUGAGAUUGUAGGAAAUUCAGAGUUAUAUUUUCCAGCCUCUCCAGCCAGAAGUCUCCACUACGUCGUGGGAAACAUAUAUCAAAUGGAGUUGAAAGGCAAAAGGAAGUGAGCAAAUACUGGGCUAGUUCUCGGAGUUGGAGGUGAUCAGCGCCACAAGAUGUUGAAACUAAUGGAGACCGCAGAGAUCAUGUGCUAAGGGGCCUUCCUCCUCUGGGGUGGGAGAAGGAAUGUUCUCUGGAGAAAUCUGUAUGAUAGAAUAGUGAAGGUAACUGGCCUGAACUACAGCUCUUGAGCCAUCUGGUUUCACCUUCAGGGAGGUGCAGAGAGUGCUGGAAUGGAGGGUUAAUUGACCAUGGUGGAAAAGAGAGAAACAUUUUGAGGUUUGUGGAUUACCCAGAUGUAACAGUGACUUGCACAUAUUCCUCAUGGUGUUGUAUACAAAUGGAUCAGCAAGAAUCAGAUACUACACAUCACAGAUAAAAUCCAUAGCAACCAGGAAGCAAGAUGGUCACAUGGGAAAAUAGGGGAUGGAAUUUUAUGGACAUUAUUCAGACCACCUGGCCUUCUUACUCCCAUGUUGACACAAAGAAAGAGGACAUGAUGCUGAAGGACAAUUGGGUGCCUCAAGGCACCUGUCUUGCAGGACUGUAGUCCUAAUGAUUCAGUUGGUGGAAGGGAACCACGGAAUCACAGAUUCUGUGUUUGCACAGCCAUGCAGUACUGGAAGACCUUUGCACAUCUAGGGAUGCUGAUGUGGGUGGUGUAUUGAUUCUGAUAAUGGUGAUUAAAUGAUGACCAUUCUCAUUCAUUAGCAGAAAUUUUACCUAACCUAAAAAUGUUUAAAAAAACCUAACCAUUGUCUUAUCUUUCAUAGCAUACUGUGAGAUUGACUAUAAAGAUGAACAUUAGGGAAAUGAAGAUGGAUUAAUGUUCUUGGCAGUCUCCAACAACCCCUGCCUUUCAUAGGUAGUCUUACUUCUUGUCGAUUUAUCAGUUACUUUCUGGCUCUUAAGUCUUAUGCUCCUCUGUGAGACCUGUUAAGAGGGAUGGUAUAUACUUGUAGGUAGAAGACUAGGGAAUGGAAGUUGGAGACUUCCAUUCCAUUAACAUAGAAAGUAAUCUAGGGAUAUAAUAAUGGACUGUUUAGGGGUAUAGUACAAUGGCCCAUCCCUGAAUAAGGAAUAUGCUAUAGGUUUGCUAAUUUUACUUGUUCAGGGUAUUUCCAAAUUAUCGAAUUUUUGUUUGUUCUUUUUCUAUAAGUGAAAGUAUACAUCAAAAUGUUUCUGAUGUUUGCAGGUGUGUUUCCUUACUACUGUCCUCCCUAACUCUGGCGACCUCUUUGACCCAGCCAUCAUCAAAAAGCAUGUUUAAGGCCAUGAUUAGGGUAAUUAAUGUUAAGAAUAAAUAUUAUUUCAUUAAGAAACAUUAUUUAACUCAUUUUCCUUAUGUGUCACUUAAUGUUAUUAAGUGACCAAUUAGUUUUUAAUUAUUUCAAAUAAAAUCUAAUUGUAUUUUAAUGUCAUAUAGGUAGAUUUUUCAAAUAUGUAUGUUCACAUUUAUAUUUAGAAACAUACAAUGGGUCAUCUAACUAGAUAUUAAAAACUUUGUAUACACUUU